Long non-coding RNA from Solanum verrucosum, 524 nucleotides. RefSeq lists it as uncharacterized. The record is from RefSeq and is a predicted model, not a curated record. Lineage: Eukaryota; Viridiplantae; Streptophyta; Magnoliopsida; Solanales; Solanaceae. The transcript has 2 exons.
ACAUCAUCUCUCUUUCUUCCUCUAAAAAAACAUGCCAUAUCAAGGAAGAUAUUCUUCUCUUCAUGGCUCAAUCCGUCUAGAGUUAAACUGAGCUGCUUAGCAAUUUUUUCAUAUCCAGUAUCUUUGAGUCUAUCUAAUGCACUUCUCCACUAAGUAAUGCCUCGCUUGUAGAGAAAAGAACCCAGGACCUUAAGAGCUAAAGGUAAGCCUUUAGCAUAAUCUACUACAGAUUUGGAGAGUUCCAAAAACUCUUUAUCAGGAGUUUGUUUCUGAAAAGCGUGCCAACUAAAAACUUCAAUAGCCUCGUCUUUAGCCAAUUCAGGAACAGAAUAUAACUGGUCAUGACUACGUAGUAAAUCUUGGUUUCUAGUUGUUGUAAUGAUUAUACUUCCUUCACCAAACCAGUCAUGAUUUCCAACUAAAUAUUCCAAUUGGUGUUCAUCAUCGACAUCAUCAAAAACAAUUAAAACUUUCCAGUGGCAAAGCCUUCUUUUUAUCAUGUCAGCUCCUUCAUAAAAACUUGC